UGGCUGCUAUGGUGAAUGGAGCAUAGGUAUAUUAAAGAGUUGAAACGAAUUGCAGAGGACAGAGAAAGAAAGAAGAUGGUGUUGGCGCUCAACUCAAACUCCUUAUCUUUAUCUCUUCUUGCCCGAAGCCCUCGAGCUACUGCCUCUUAUGGCAGAAUUUCAAACCUCAUUUUCAGGGCUUUCUCCAAGUCUGCGCCUUCAAACGCCCGCCCAGAACCAAUUCCCGCUCACCAAAUCACUAACUACUCCGGCGUCAAACUAGAGGAAACCGUGGAACCCAGUUCGGGGAAGCUCAGACUCGACUCUUGGAUCUCUUCUCGCAUUGAUGGCGUGAGCCGAGCUCGAGUUCAGUCCAGCAUUCGUUCUGGACUCGUCACUGUUAAUGGCCGCAUCAUUGAUAAGGUUUCGCAUACAGUGAAAAGAGGGGAUAAAGUUAAUUGCACGAUUGCUGAGUUGCAGCCUUUGACAGCAGAACCCGAAGAUAUGCCACUGGACAUUGUUUAUGAAGAUGAUCAUGUGCUUGUUGUUAACAAGCCUGCACAUAUGGUUGUUCAUCCAGCACCUGGCAAUCCUACUGGAACGCUUGUAAAUGGAAUUCUUCAUCAUUGUAGUCUUCCCGUAGCAUCAUUCCCAUAUCAGGAAGUGCUUUCUGAUGGGGAGGCUGCUUUAGAUGAUGAGUUGAGUACCUUCUCUUCUGAGCAAGAUUACGUUGGGGGUGACUAUUCUGCUAUAGGAGAGGCGUCUAUUCGCCCAGGAAUAGUGCACAGAUUGGACAAAGGAACCAGUGGAUUGCUUGUUGUAGCCAAGGAUGAAUAUUCUCACGCUCAUCUAGCAGAGCAAUUCAAGAAGCAUAGCAUUAAGCGAGUCUAUGUUGCUCUUACUUGUGGAGUGCCUACACCGGCUUCUGGACGCAUCGAUAUUCCAAUAGGUCGUGAUCCAAACAAUAGACUUCGUAUGGCUGCUAUCUCUGGGUUUAGCAAGAAUGGGAAAACCCGUCAUGCUGCUAGUAGAUACAAAGUGAUUGAAAUACUUGCUGGUGGUGGUUCUGCCUUGGUUGAAUGGAGACUGGAAACUGGACGUACUCAUCAGAUCCGAGCACAUGCAAAGUACCUUGGCAUCCCCCUGCUGGGUGAUGAGGUUUACGGAGGAACAAAGAGCAUGGCCCUUUCAUUGCUUCAGCAAAGGAACCCUUCUGAGUUUCACGGAAAACUCCUGCAACUAAUCUCUAGAUUGGAAAGACCUUGUCUCCAUGCUUUAACUCUUGGGUUUAGGCAUCCCAAAACAGGAGAAAACGUACACUUCACUCAGCUACCACCAACCGAUUUUGCUGAGGUUUUAAGUGACCUUCGCACCAUUAGCACAGAGAAGGUAUCACAAUCUGUUACAUACUUGCAUUCCUCUCUUCAUAGAACUUUCAUGGAAGUUGACACCUCGUAGUCUAGUGGCAUAGGCCUGAGAUCUAUGUAAGAGGUCUCAAAGUUCGAUCCCUAAUUCAGUGUCCUGAAAGUAUCAUUCUUUGGCAUGCCAGUGAUGGGAUCUCCAUACAAUUUUGUCCAUCACCAAGUGAAGUUGGCAUAUGACACGAGAUUGGAAUUAUGAAACAAUUCUUUUUAAUUAAAAAGACCAUACCACAAGGUUCCAAGUUCAACUCGUGAGAGCUAACUAUUGGUUUAAGCUGAUCAGCUUAGCAACCUAGUCUGGUUUAUCUCCUUGUAAUUUUUUGGAGUAGGAUCACAAAACAGACUUCACUCAGUGCACACAUUCAGGUAGUAGCUGCAAACUUUCUCUUGAAUCAAAGCUUCUCUAAGCAUCUUAGUCCUGUUUAUAUUAUAGACUUGUCAAAGAUUAUGUUCUUUCUAAAACUGUAAACUUUUGCUGCUGGAGAACACCAAGAUAUUAGUCCAUUUUCUCCUCUGUUAAAAGGAAAUAAUGUUUCUUCAUAUUCUGAGAAAAAUUGUCAGGUAAUUGUAAUUGUAUGCAGAAAGAGAAUUUUGUAUUGAAGACUAUAUAUGCUACUGAUCAGUAAAUUAUUUGCAAAA
Ipomoea nil (Japanese morning glory) is the source of this 2039-nucleotide RNA transcript. It is a transcript of the gene named RNA pseudouridine synthase 2, chloroplastic, with no coding region annotated. NCBI's taxonomy places the organism in Eukaryota, Viridiplantae, Streptophyta, Magnoliopsida, Solanales, Convolvulaceae. The transcript is spliced from 9 exons. The record is from RefSeq and is a predicted model, not a curated record.